Molecule: non-coding RNA, 116 nt
Organism: Triticum aestivum (bread wheat)
Lineage: Eukaryota; Viridiplantae; Streptophyta; Magnoliopsida; Poales; Poaceae
Source: Rfam
CUACUACUCCCUCCAUCCGAAAAUACUUGUCAUUGAAAUGGAUGUACCUAGAUGUAUUUUAGUUCUAGACACAUCCAUUUUGAUGACAAGUAAUUCCGGAUGGGGGGGAGUAUUAU